UACGUAGGGGGCUAGCGUUGUCCGGAAUCAUUGGGCGUAAAGAGCGUGUAGGCGGCCCGGUAAGUCCGCUGUGAAAGUCGGGGGCUCAACCCUCGAAUGCCGGUGGAUACUGUCGGGCUAGAGUGCGGAAGAGGCGAGUGGAAUUCCUGGUGUAGCGGUGGAAGUGCGCAGAUAUCAGGAGGAACACCGAUGGCGAAGGCAGCUCGCUGGGACGGUACUGACGCUGAGGCGCGAAAGCGUGGGGAGCGAACAGG
This 254-nucleotide ribosomal RNA is filed under the name uncultured bacterium. RNAcentral describes it as "partial 16S ribosomal RNA". It matches the Rfam family "Bacterial small subunit ribosomal RNA", at positions 524 to 776 of the family's 1533-position model. The record is from RNAcentral.